Molecule: ribosomal RNA, 253 nt
Filed under: uncultured bacterium
Lineage: Bacteria
Description: partial 16S ribosomal RNA
Rfam family: Bacterial small subunit ribosomal RNA
Source: RNAcentral
UACGUAGGGGGCAAGCGUUAUCCGGAUUUACUGGGUGUAAAGGGAGCGUAGACGGCUUAGCAAGUCUGAAGUGAAAGCCCGCGGCUCAACUGCGGGACUGCUUUGGAAACUGUGUUGCUGGAGUGCCGGAGAGGUAAGUGGAAUUCCUAGUGUAGCGGUGAAAUGCGUAGAUAUUAGGAGGAACACCAGUGGCGAAGGCGGCUUACUGGACGGUAACUGACGUUGAGGCUCGAAAGCGUGGGGAGCAAACAGG